This 395-nucleotide ribosomal RNA is filed under the name Enterobacter cloacae. Its description in RNAcentral is "bacterial SSU rRNA". It matches the Rfam family "Bacterial small subunit ribosomal RNA", at positions 949 to 1344 of the family's 1533-position model. Lineage: Bacteria; Pseudomonadati; Pseudomonadota; Gammaproteobacteria; Enterobacterales; Enterobacteriaceae. The record is from RNAcentral.
AUUCGAUGCAACGCGAAGAACCUUACCUGGUCUUGACAUCCACAGAACUUUCCAGAGAUGGAUUUGUGCCUUCGGGAACUGGGAGAGAGGUGCUGCAUGGCUGUCGUCGGCUCGUGUUGUGAAAUGUUGGGUUAAGUCCCGCAACGAGCGCAACCCUUAUUCUUUGUUGACAGCGGUUAGGGAGGGAACUCAAAUCAGACUGCCAGUGAUAAACUGGAGGACGGUGGGUUUGACGUCAAGUCAUCCUGGCCCUUACGACAAGGGCUACACACGUGCUACAAUGGCGCAGGCAAAGAGAAGCGAACUCGAGAGAGCAAGGGUACGUCAUAAAGUGCGAUGUAGUCCGGAUGGGAGUCUAGAACUCUACACCAUGACGGCGGCAUAGCUCUUAAUCG